This 478-nucleotide ribosomal RNA is filed under the name uncultured bacterium. RNAcentral describes it as "partial 16S ribosomal RNA". It matches the Rfam family "Bacterial small subunit ribosomal RNA", at positions 28 to 523 of the family's 1533-position model. The record is from RNAcentral.
GACGAACGCUGGCGGCGUGCUUAACACAUGCAAGUCGAACGGUAAGGCCCUUCGGGGUACACGAGUGGCGAACGGGUGAGUAACACGUGGGUGAUCUGCCCUGCACUUCGGGAUAAGCCUGGGAAACUGGGUCUAAUACCGGAUAGGACCACUGCCUGCAUGGGGGGUGGUGGAAAGCUUUUGCGGUGUGGGAUGGGCCCGCGGCCUAUCAGCCUGUUGGUGGGGUGACGGCCUACCAAGGCGACGACGGGUAGCCGGCCUGAGAGGGUGACCGGCCACACUGGGACUGAGAUACGGCCCAGACUCCUACGGGAGGCAGCAGUGGGGAAUAUUGCACAAUGGGCGCAAGCCUGAUGCAGCGACGCCGCGUGAGGGAUGACGGCCUUCGGGUUGUAAACCUCUUUCAGCACCGACGAAGCGCAAGUGACGGUAGGUGCAGAAGAAGGACCGGCCAACUACGUGCCAGCCGCCGCAGUAA